AUGUACAUUUCUAUAGCAUAGAGUUAAUGCAUUAGAUCCCAUCAGAACUCCAUGGUUAAGCAUGCUCAGGCUAGAUUAGUAUUGGGAUGGGUUACCACCGAGGAAGUCCUAGUGUUUUACAUU
This is a non-coding RNA of Picea glauca (white spruce), 123 nucleotides long. The record is from Rfam. NCBI's taxonomy places the organism in Eukaryota, Viridiplantae, Streptophyta, Pinopsida, Pinales, Pinaceae.